GCAGAGUAGACUGUAUUGCGUUAAGUGUCUGAUGAACAGGGAGUUGUCAUCAGGACGAAGGUUUUUACCGCGGUUUUAUGGUCGCAUCCCGCUGC
Molecule: non-coding RNA, 95 nt
Filed under: bovine gut metagenome
Description: THF riboswitch
Rfam family: THF (Tetrahydrofolate) riboswitch aptamer
About the family: THF riboswitch presents a pseudoknot that joins P1-P2 and the loop of P3 and two THF binding.
Source: RNAcentral